GAGGGUAUAGCUCAGUAGUAGAGAGCAUGCUUAGCAUACAUGAGGUCCUGGAUUCAAUCCCCAGUACCUCCA
Molecule: transfer RNA, 72 nt
Organism: Camelus ferus (Wild Bactrian camel)
Lineage: Eukaryota; Metazoa; Chordata; Mammalia; Artiodactyla; Camelidae
Rfam family: tRNA
About the family: Transfer RNA (tRNA) molecules are approximately 80 nucleotides in length. Their secondary structure includes four short double-helical elements and three loops (D, anti-codon, and T loops).
Source: Rfam